RNAcentral lists this non-coding RNA (120 nucleotides) under Phytophthora megakarya. RNAcentral's name for it is "TPP sequence". It matches the Rfam family "TPP riboswitch aptamer (THI element)". From Rfam's summary of the family: Vitamin B(1) in its active form thiamin pyrophosphate (TPP) is an essential coenzyme that is synthesised by coupling of pyrimidine and thiazole moieties in bacteria. Lineage: Eukaryota; Oomycota; Peronosporomycetes; Peronosporales; Peronosporaceae. The record is from Rfam by way of RNAcentral.
UCAAUCAGCGAGGGGUGCCGAUGCAGUCAUGGACCAGUUCCAUGCGCUGACCGGCUGAGAUAAAACCCUUAGAACCUGAUCCGGUUCGCACCGGCGGAGGGACUGCUGCAACUUGUUGUU